GCCAUUUGUGAAGGACUGGAAAAGGAAAAUGUCCUGAUGAUGCCAAAAAUAAUAAUAAUAGGGGAAUGAAAUCUUUAAACUUCAGGCCAGUAAACUUAACUUUGAUUCCAGACAAAUUUUUAGAACUUAUUCUUAGAGAUGUUAGUUAACCUUUAGGAAAGAAAGAGGUGAUCACUAAGAGCCAGGAUGGCUUCAUCAGUAGCAAAUUAGUCCAGCUUAACCUUAGGCCCUUUGUUUGGAUAGGAUUAAGAAAUUGAUGGCUCUGGCAAAUUAUAUAUAUACAUAUAUAUAUGCAUAUAUACAUAUCUAUGAUAUGUAUUAGUUUUAAUUAAGCAUUUGAAACAAUCACUCAUAUUGCUUUGAAGAAGAUGGAGAGAUAUAUUCUACACAAUAGUCACUUGUAUUGCUAAGUCUAAGCAGAUUAUGAUAAUGAAACCUAUUUUCUUGGCUGUCAUAAACAGAUGAUUGACUUAGGUACUCAAUAUCUUCAAAAGAAAUGAGGCAUGAAGAGAUACUAGGUAUAUGGCUUAAUGCCCUAGGCCAUCAAAUAAACAUCAUUGUGGAAAAGGAAUGCUUCAGAUGUUUAGAGUGAAGGUUUCUGAGUACCUAUCAGUGAUGGGCUUCUUCUGUCUUCUCAUCUCAAGUAAAAAAGUAUUUGCUCAUUUUCUCAACAGAUGGCUGCUGAAUGCCUACUAUGUACUCAUUCUACACUACGUGUUGAAAUCUAAAGGGAAGUGUAAGAGUGGGAUUCCUUUUCACGCUGUGAAGAGAAGCUGCUGUGGUGGCUGACCGAGUCUGCCUUAUUACUUCAUUAUUUGGGCAUGCUGAUAUUGGAACCAUGCCUCAGGAUAUCAAAGGACUGGCCACUGGCUGAUCUCAUUGGCUAGUAGAGCCUGUGAGGUCAUCUCCUCGUAUAUUGGUAAGUAUCAUCCUUAUUUCUCCAUGUCAUUCCUGGAAUCCUGGGUAAUUGAGGCAAUAACUUUAGGACUCUUACCUUAGAGUCUUUCCUACUCUUGCUGGC
This 1021-nucleotide long non-coding RNA is filed under the name Monodelphis domestica (gray short-tailed opossum). Its description in RNAcentral is "lncRNA (ENSMODG00000049048.1)". Lineage: Eukaryota; Metazoa; Chordata; Mammalia; Didelphimorphia; Didelphidae. The record is from RNAcentral.